AGAAUCAACGCUGGCGGCGUGCCUAACACAUGCAAGUCGAACGAGAAAGUGGAGCAAUCCAUGAGUAAAGUGGCGCACGGGUGAGUAACACGUGACUAACCUACCCUUGAGUGGGGAAUAACCUCGGGAAACCGGGGCUAAUACCGCAUAACACCUACGGGUCAAAGGAGCAAUUCGCUUAAGGAGGGGGUCGCGGCAGAUUAGUUAGUUGGCGGGGUAAUGGCCCACCAAGACGGCGAUCUGUAU
RNAcentral lists this ribosomal RNA (246 nucleotides) under uncultured bacterium. RNAcentral's name for it is "partial small subunit ribosomal RNA". It matches the Rfam family "Bacterial small subunit ribosomal RNA", at positions 26 to 286 of the family's 1533-position model. The record is from RNAcentral.